UUUAGGGCUGUUGGGGUCUUUUUCGUCCGAAGGCUUAUUCGGGCUUUGUUGAUUCUUGGAUCGCCAUAGAGUGAUGAAUGAAGAUUUUGUUGCCGCUUUGUCUGAGUUAGCGAGAACUAGGCCCAAAGUAUCCCGAGGGAGAAGCAAGUCCCGGGAGAGUACUUUGUUUUUCUUCCAGCGGCUGCGUGUUUUGUGUUGAUGUUUCCGGCAGCUCGACAAAGAGUUGAAGAUGACUUGCUGAUGUUGAUAUGAGAUCAUAUGAGCUUGGCAUGAGAGCUUGGAGUGUAGGAGCUAGAGACCCACAAGUUUAGCAAAUGAGAAUGCAUGUGCUUGGCUUAGUGUUGGAUAUGUUUGAGUUUGGUGUUGAUAAUUUAUUGUGUGUGGCUAUGGCUAUGGGGAUUUAAGAGUUUCAAGAGAAGGAGGAUGGAAGGAAAAACUUGAUGUUUGAGGGCUAUGGUGUUUAAAGCUUGAAAGGAAGGAAAAGCUUAGAGCUAGGUGAUGCUUUAUGGAUUUAAGAGUUUCAAGAUAAGGAGGAUGGAAGGAAAAGCUUGAGGUUUGAAAGCUAUGGUGUUUAAAGCUUGAAAGGAAGAAAAAGCUUGGAGCUAGGUGAUGCUUUAUGAAUAUAAGAGUUUCAAGAUAAGGAGGAUGGAAGGAAAAGCUUGAGGUUUGAAGGCUAUGAUGUUUAAAGCUUGGAAGAAAGGAAAAGCUUGGAGCUAGGUGAUGCUUUAUGAAUAUAAGAGUUUCAAGAUAAGGAGGAUGGAAGGAAAAGCUUGAGGUUUGAAGGCUAUGAUGUUUAAAGCUUGGAAGAAAGGAAAAGCUUGGAGCUAGGUGAUGCUUUAUGGAUUUAAGAGUUUCAAGAGAAGUAGGAUGGAAGAAAAAACUUGAGGUUUGAAGGCUAUGAUGUUUAAAGCUUGGAAGGAAGGAAAAGCUUGGAGUUAGGUGAUGCUUUAUGGAGGUUGGUGGCUGCUGGGAUGCUUGCAGGAGCCAAGUGAGGGAGUGUUGGCUGAAGAAAAAUUGGUCGAUGGCUGCUGUGUUGCUUGCAGCAGCCGAAUGAGGAGGGGCUUGAUGGCUGAAGAAAAAUUAGUGGCUGCUGGAAUGCUUACAGCAGCUGAAGAAAGGUGAGUUCUCAUGGUUGUUGAGAAGCUUGCAACAACCAAGAGGGGUUGGUUUUGGCUGAGUAAUGCCUCCCAAAUGAUAGAAGGUGAAGGCUCUCUUUGGUUUUCAAUAGGUAAAAGGAAGUGUUGGAGCUAGUCUAUUUCCAACAGAUAAAAUGGGGCAUUGGGACAUUCUUAUUUCCAGCAGGUAAAGCUAGGCAUUGAAAAAUGAUUAUUUUCUAUGGGUAAAAGGAAGUGUUGGAAGUGGCUUGUUUCCAGUGGGUAAAAAGAAGCAUUGAGAUAGUCUUAUUUCCAGCGGGUAAAGUUAGGUAUUGAAAAAUGACUAUUUUCUAUGGGUAAAAAGAAGUGCUUGAAAAAUAUCUCAUUUGCUCGCCCACAUUGGAGAACUCUAAGUAAUGGGCUUGGACUUUGGUGCUCCCAAGUAGCUAGCUCAAAGUCUUCAUUAUCUAAAAGUUUCUGUGGGCCUUGUGGACCUCCGUAACCUUCCACACCACAAUCCCUUGUGCAAGCCCAUAAACCACAUGACUUGGGUUCAUGUAAGCUUGGUAGGUGAUUGGCAUAGGCAAAAUGUAUUAUUGAUUUGGCAUGGCAUGUACACUAUUUAUAUAUUUAUUUAAUAAAUUAAUUCCCAAAAUACAGCUUGAAUUAACACAUGACCAACAUUAUAUGUUAUAUUGGGCUUUGAAUGUCUUUGGGCUUCCCAUGACUUUUUUGGGUCUCAAUAAGGGUAUUAUCCAUUACUAUUAAGCCAUUAUCCGAGUCUAUUGAUUUAC
This 1888-nucleotide long non-coding RNA is filed under the name Prunus persica (peach). Its description in RNAcentral is "long non-coding RNA (PPER_LNC002825)". The record is from RNAcentral. Lineage: Eukaryota; Viridiplantae; Streptophyta; Magnoliopsida; Rosales; Rosaceae.